This 253-nucleotide ribosomal RNA is filed under the name uncultured bacterium. RNAcentral describes it as "partial 16S ribosomal RNA". It matches the Rfam family "Bacterial small subunit ribosomal RNA", at positions 524 to 776 of the family's 1533-position model. The record is from RNAcentral.
GACGAACCGUGCGAACGUUGUUCGGAAUCACUGGGCUUAAAGGGCGCGUAGGUGGUCUGUCAAGUCGGGGGUGAAAUCUUUCGGCUCAACCGGAAAACUGCCUUCGAUACUGGCAGGCUAGAGGGAGGUAGGGGUUGCGGGAACUACCAGUGGAGCGGUGAAAUGCGUUGAUAUUGGUAGGAACGCCGGUGGCGAAAGCGCGCAACUGGACCUCUUCUGACACUGAUGCGCGAAAGCUAGGGGAGCAAACGGG